Tarenaya hassleriana is the source of this 325-nucleotide long non-coding RNA. RefSeq lists it as uncharacterized. The transcript is spliced from 3 exons. Lineage: Eukaryota; Viridiplantae; Streptophyta; Magnoliopsida; Brassicales; Cleomaceae. The record is from RefSeq and is a predicted model, not a curated record.
UUUUUGCUAGGGUUUCUUCUUCUUCUUCUUUUUCCUCCUCCCAUGGCCGACCCUAACACCAUUGUUGCCUAUCUUCCACUCCGAUUUGCCUCCUUGCUCGCCGUCGACCAUCGAUCCCCGCCCCGUGGCCACCGCUUCAUCACCGUCGGUGAAGAAAAUCUCGAGGUUAUUGAACCCGGGAUCGAGGAUUAGAGCGAAUCUUUCGGAGUUCAUCGUUUAGACCAAGGAUGGCACCUGGUCGUGGACGAGGACGUCCAGUCCCAGAGGAGGGGAGAUGUGGAAAUCCUCCCCAGCCUGAUCAUAUGCAGGAAAUGAGGAAUUUACU